This 497-nucleotide ribosomal RNA is filed under the name uncultured bacterium. RNAcentral's name for it is "partial 16S ribosomal RNA". It matches the Rfam family "Bacterial small subunit ribosomal RNA", at positions 28 to 507 of the family's 1533-position model. The record is from RNAcentral.
GAUGAACGCUGGCGGCGUGCCUAAUACAUGCAAGUCGAGCGAACAGACGAGGAGCUUGCUCCUCUGACGUUAGCGGCGGACGGGUGAGUAACACGUGGAUAACCUACCUAUAAGACUGGGAUAACUUCGGGAAACCGGAGCUAAUACCGGAUAAUAUAUUGAACCGCAUGGUUCAAUAGUGAAAGACGGUUUUGCUGUCACUUAUAGAUGGAUCCGCGCCGCAUUAGCUAGUUGGUAAGGUAACGGCUUACCAAGGCAACGAUGCGUAGCCGACCUGAGCGGGUGAUCGGCCAGACUGGAACUGAGACACGGUCCAGACUCCUACGGGAGGAAGCAGUAGGGAAUCUUCCGCAAUGGGCGAAAGCUUGACGGAGCAACGCCGCGUGAGUGAUGAAGGUCUUCGGAUCGUAAAACUCUGUUAUUAGGGAAGAACAAAUGUGUAAGUAACUAUGCACGUCUUGACGGUACCUAAUCAGAAAGCCACGGCUAACUACGUG